Dreissena polymorpha is the source of this 1637-nucleotide long non-coding RNA. RefSeq lists it as uncharacterized. The transcript is spliced from 2 exons. The record is from RefSeq and is a predicted model, not a curated record. Lineage: Eukaryota; Metazoa; Mollusca; Bivalvia; Myida; Dreissenidae.
UGUGGUUGUUUUGUUAAGACAAAGCGCAUAUCACUAAUGCUGUUGUUUUUGUUUUAUGAUAUAUGUAAAUAAUUAAACAUGUUUAUUUUGGUGAUAUGUAUUUCCCAAUCUAAGUGUAAUGUUGCAUUCUCAAUAAAGUACAUUGUUAUACACGUGGAAUAGUAUUGCUAAGUGACAAUUUGUUGUCUUUACAAAUAAAAACCGCAAGGAUUGUCGUAUCAAUUUUAUAGCUUUCCCCUAUUGAACUGGUGUAAAAACGUGACCGUGAGCUCAUUUUGUUUAAUGUUAACUGCCAAUAUAUAUAUAUAUAUAUAUAUAUAUAUAUAUAUAUAUAUAUAUAUAGAAAGAAAUUGUUCAAACAGUGUAAAAAAUGUGUAUCUUAUACCCUAGCGCUUUUGACUACACGUCUUCUUCAGGGGUGUAUACAGAUAUGAGUUAACGAUUCCCCAGUGCAAAUGCACAAAAGAGGUUAACUUAUUGGCUUUCAGUCUUGUUUUUUUUAGUUAUGUGUCGUUUUAUUUUUUAUGCCCCCCUUCGAAGAAGAGGGGGUAUAUUGCUUUGCUCAUGUCGGUCGGUCUGUCGGUCCGUCCACCAGGUGGUUGUCAGAUGAUAACUCAAGAACGCUUGGGCCUAGGAUCAUGAAACUUCAUAGGUACAUUGAUCAUGACUCGCAGAUGACCCCUAUUGAUUAUGAGGUCACUAGGUCAAAGGUCAAGGUCACGGUGACCCGAAAUAGAAAAAAUGGUUUCUGGAUGACAACUCAAGAACGCUUAGGCGUAGGAUCAUGAAACUUGAUAGGUAGAUUGAUCAUGACUUGCAGAUGACCCCUAUUGAUUUUCAGGUCACUAGGUAAAGGUCAAGGUCACGGUGACCCGAAAUAGUAAAAUGGUUUCCGGAUGAUAACUCAAGAAUGCUUAGGCCUAGGAUCAUGAAACUUCAUAGGUACAUUGAUCAUGACUCGCAGAUGACCCCUAUUGAUUUUCAGGUCACUAGGUCAAAGGUCAAGGUCACGGUGACCCGAAAUAGUAAAAUGGUUUCAGGAUGAUAACUCAAGAACGCUUAUGGCUAGGAUCAUGAAACUUCAUAGGUACAUUAAUCAUGACUGGCAGAUAACCCCUAUUAAUUUUGAGGUCACUAGGUCAAAGGUCAAGGUCACGGUGACCCGAAAUAGUAAAAUGGUUUCCCGAUGAUAACUCAAGAACGCUUAUGGCUAGGAUCAUGAAACUUCAUAGGUACAUUGAUCAUGACUCGAAGAUGACCCCUAUUGAUUUUCAGGUCACUAGGUCAAAGGUCAAGGUCACUGUGACAAAAAACAUAUUCACACAAUGGCUGUCACUACAACUGAGAGCCCGUAUGGGGGGCAUGCAUGUUUUACAAACAGCCCUUGUUUAUUUAUUUAUUUAUGCAUAUUAAAAUUGUGUCAUAGACUGACGCCCGUAAUAUAAAUUAUAUCGAUGUUAUAAUGAAAAAUAUUAUAAUUUGCAGUGAACGUUUUGCAUUCAGUAUUGUGUCAUAUUUAUUCUUCGUUUUAUGAUUAUGUACAUACACUUAUUAAAAUUGUGUGUUAUAAAAUGGCGCUUACAAUGUUUAUUAUAUCGAUUUAACAUUUAAAUGAUUAAAAUGGAAGUUAGAAUUUA